Topomyia yanbarensis is the source of this 1000-nucleotide long non-coding RNA. RefSeq lists it as uncharacterized. NCBI's taxonomy places the organism in Eukaryota, Metazoa, Arthropoda, Insecta, Diptera, Culicidae. The record is from RefSeq and is a predicted model, not a curated record. The transcript is spliced from 3 exons.
AGCUUGAAAGUGAAACAUCAUCAACAAACUUUCUGUAAUAACUAUAUCCAUUCAACCUGUUAGCUGCAAAGACAGAACGCACACAUAAAAAAACGAUUUUGCUUUGGAAGGGUCGCACGAGUCCGACAGUCAAACGAGGAAGAAUCCCGUCAAAACCCAAGCGUACAAGCAGGAACAAGACGUUUGUUCAUACCAGCUCUGUUGAUUCCGGACCACACGAAAUCGUACCGGAUUGCACCGGGAAGAUAGGAAUCCUGAAGGCAUCAGUAUCUGCGGUGAUCUGCGAACGGAAAGCGAUACGAUUUUAACCAGCCUAGCAAACACGAAACGGAAAACGCCUUCCAAGAGAAGUGAGUAAAUCACAGCGAUUAUAGAUUUUAUGACGACACGUGGUAUAUCGUUGGCCUCCUUUUCCGUCACUUAAAGUGUCCUACUUCAAGCAUCGGGACUCAGCUACCGGCUCAGCAGAAGUUCCAUCAAGGCGUCGGUCGAACAGGAACAAUUCGCAGGAAUGUGGUUACCGCAGCUGCGUACCUGGACGCAGGUGAGCAGCCAGAGCACAAGCGGUUUAUAGGAGACCGUGACGCAAUAGGUCCCACGGUCGAGCUCAAGGGGAUUUUGUCAGCACUAACGAGGGCACGCCGGAUGGAACUGAAGGUAGCGAGACACACGAUUUAUGUCGUGGGAUGCCGCAGCGGUAUGGCGGGGCCGUGAGUACUAGCUUUCAAGAAGUGAAUAGAAUCAGUGGGCCGGAAGAGCAAAGCAGCAGGAUAGAAGAAGUCAGAGGAAAUAGAGGAUUGUGUGAAGAGAGAUGAAUAAAGGGGUCUGAUGUUGCCACGUGUAGGUUUUGAUUUUAUGAGCAGUCGGCCCAGGUGAGGCAAGUUGUCGCCGAGGCUGUAGAAAGAUAAUGUAACAACGUCCACUGUGUCAGAGAAUCGCGUAACACAGCAAGAAUAAGACGAGACUCCGUGCGUUAUUGGCAUAUUUGGUCCUGCCAGCC